Long non-coding RNA from Callithrix jacchus (white-tufted-ear marmoset), 1487 nucleotides. Lineage: Eukaryota; Metazoa; Chordata; Mammalia; Primates; Cebidae. The record is from Ensembl.
AGACAAGGAAGUGCCGGGUAGAGAAGGGCGGGGUCAUUGGUGAGGGCCCCUCCCUCGGACUUGUGCCCACGGACCUACGUGAGAUCAGGAAUUCCUGUUUUUGAACCCAAAUACUGCAUUUUCCAGACCACUCUGGCCCGACACAACGCCCACCCUGUGCCUAUAACAACCCAAGGCCCUGGUGGGCACACCCACAAGCAGCUGGACGUCGAGAGGAACACACCGACAGACUCUGGCAGGCCAUCGACAGCAGAACAACACGGAUUCAGUAGGGACAGGUGGAGGAGAGUCUGGAGUCCUGGCUCCAGGGGAAUACAUCUGCCCACUCUAUCCCCCUUCUGGCUCCUCAUCUAUCUACUGAGAGCUACUCAAUAAAACCUUGCACUCAUUCUCCAAGCCCACCUGUGAUCUGGGUUUACUGGUACUGGGGCGAGAACCUUGGGACACAGAAAGCCCUCUGACCUUGCGAUAAGGCAGGGGGACGCUAAUUGAGGUGAUUAACAUAAGCCACCUGCGGACAGCUAAGCUGAAAGAGCACACUGUAACACAUGUCCACUCUGUCCUCGACGCUGCUGUGGGGUUGAGGCUCACGCUCCCACUGCCUGCCCGUCUGCAUGCUCUCCCUAGGAAUUUGAGCUGCGGGACACUGAAGAAUCGAGCCAAACCACCAUCGCACGCCCUGAGAGGGAGAUAAGGGAGCUUUUCCCCUUUUUACUCUCAGGUUCCAAAGUUCUCCACUAAUGAUGGAUGAUGAUUUGGGGGCACCCAAAGUGUAAACCACUGGACUUAUUCAUUUGUUGAGUGGCCUUUGGCUAAUUCCGAAAAGAAAGCAACUGAAGACAGACUGUUCUAAGAACUAAGAGAAUGAAUCUGGCUGACGUGUGGAGAGAAGAGAUGGACCAAGAUACUGCAUUGUGUCAGCUAGAAAUUUUGAGCUCUGGCGAUCUCAGUAACAUUAUACAAAUUCUUCCUGAAAGGAAUGAGCUUAUCCUCAGAAACAUCCCAGAACCCUUCACCAGUGUGGAAAACGGAGUUGUUCUGCAAGAUAAGAUAAUUAAUUCGUCUUUGUGUCAGUGCAGCCUGCUUCAAGAGCUUCAUUCUGAACCACAAAAUGUACUUACCCAAGUACAACGUUUAAGUAACUAAUCUGCAUCAAUUGAUGUCCAUGGAAGACCUCACGAAUGUCUGUAUUCUCUUCAAAUUCCUGGUUGCUGAGUUUAUAUGUUAAUUCUGGCAGUGCCUUUGUGAAUUGACUCUUUGCAUGUGAGUGUUGCUGAAGGUGAAAUUCUCUUCUAUAAUCACAAAGAUACUGGUAGUGAAGAGACAAUUGCUUCAAAACCCUAUUUAGAUGAACAGUACUACAUUGGUGCAAAAUUUAAAAAAUUAUAAUAUAGGAGUCAAUAUCAUUUCCGGUAUGGCCCCAUUAAUGUCUUUCCAGAAUCAGUGAUGUAGUAGUGAGUAAUGCUUCAUCAUUUUAUAAAUAAAAC